This 631-nucleotide ribosomal RNA is filed under the name uncultured bacterium. Its description in RNAcentral is "bacterial SSU rRNA". It matches the Rfam family "Bacterial small subunit ribosomal RNA", at positions 192 to 804 of the family's 1533-position model. The record is from RNAcentral.
ACCUGAGGGUGAAAGCGGGGGAUCGCAAGACCUCGCGCUGGAAGAGCGGCCGAUGUCCGAUUAGCUAGUUGGUGAGGUAAAGGCUCACCAAGGCGACGAUCGGUAGCUGGUCUGAGAGGACGACCAGCCACACUGGGACUGAGACACGGCCCAGACUCCUACGGGAGGCAGCAGUGGGGAAUUUUGGACAAUGGGGGCAACCCUGAUCCAGCCAUGCCGCGUGCAGGAUGAAGGUCUUCGGAUUGUAAACUGCUUUUGUCAGGGACGAAAAGGGAUGCGAUAACACCGCAUUCCGCUGACGGUACCUGAAGAAUAAGCACCGGCUAACUACGUGCCAGCAGCCGCGGUAAUACGUAGGGUGCAAGCGUUAAUCGGAAUUACUGGGCGUAAAGCGUGCGCAGGCGGUUCUGUAAGAUAGAUGUGAAAUCCCCGGGCUCAACCUGGGAAUUGCAUAUAUGACUGCAGGACUUGAGUUUGUCAGAGGAGGGUGGAGUUCCACGUGUAGCAGUGAAAUGCGUAGAUAUGUGGAAGAACACCGAUGGCGAAGGCAGCCCUCUGGGACAUGACUGACGCUCAUGCACGAAAGCGUGGGGAGCAAACAGGAUUAGCUACCCUGGUAGUCCACGCCCUA